Molecule: long non-coding RNA, 2668 nt
Filed under: Capsicum annuum
Lineage: Eukaryota; Viridiplantae; Streptophyta; Magnoliopsida; Solanales; Solanaceae
Description: long non-coding RNA (CANN_LNC016653)
Source: RNAcentral
UGCGGUGUCCGGGGAAGGGCCCCACCAAGAAAAGAGAACCUAAUUAUACUCACCAAAAAUAAAAAGAAAAAAACUAAUUAAGUGAAUCUUUCAUCAGUGAAAAUAACUUGGAAAUCACUAUAUGUCUAAAGCAAAGCAUCAUCAUCAGGUCCAGCAAGAAUUACCUGCAAAUUAAAAAAAAAAAAAAACAAUUAAAUUUGCCUUAGUAGGCGUUUAGACAUGCGAUGGCAGAAUGCUGUUGCACUCAUUCCAUGUUGCUCGGACUUUUCAAAUAUGUUGACGGAUGUGUGUUAGAUCCACUAAAAAUAGUGUUUUUUUAAAGGAUCCAACACCAGUGCGGCAGCAUUUCUGGAGAGUCCAAGCAACAACUCACUAUGCCUUAGCGACACUAGUUGUUUAACUUUUGUUAUUAUGGGAUUGGGGCACAGUGGAUAGAGUAAUGUAUAACUUAGAAAAGAUUCGCAGAUGAAGUUGAAACAAACAGAAGCUACUUACAUUGCAGUCCAUGGCGUAUUUCCGAGCUGCCAUAAGGGCUCCGUUUCUUUCUUUCUCGGAUUCAAAUACUAACACAAAGGAAUGUCCUUUCCUAGGUAGCCAAAACAGUGACUUUGCGGCAGAAUUACCCCCUCCUCUAAAUCCACAUAGCUGAAAUGAAAAGUGUUUUGAGGGAUUAGAUAUGAAUGAUUGUUGCUUCGUAUUUGGUGUGGACAAUGUGAGGAAAUAGUGACUAACUCAAACUGAAUAGUCAACACUGGUAGCCAGCUAUUGGAGCGUGAAUGAACUACUUUCUUAACUAUCUUUUCACCAAGUACCUGCAUAGAUCCAGAAUACGAAUCUCUAGCUUUUGUAAUCCAUCCUUUGCCCAACUUCAGCUUUGUUUUCCCGACAUGGAAGCAGUGUGCAGAACGUGAUGAAUAGUUCCGUCCAUUCAUCUGCGCAAUAACCACCUGGAAAAAAAAUGAUAACCUGAUUACCAUAAAGUAGACAACAGAUGAACUACACAAUUUAAUUUACAUCUGCACAAAUAUGAACUGAUGUGAAUGCUAUGGAAGGUGUGCAUGCAAGAUAUAUAGAGGAGAAGUUUUAGAGCAAAGGAUCCUGAACGAAAGAACAUGAACCAAAAGUACAGCUUCCUUUGUAUCUUAAGCGACAAAGUAUUAGAUACAGAAAUCGUAUUGGAAAACUUACACUGAAUUCAAUGUUUGACUUCCGGAAAAGUGUCUCAACAUAACUCCCCAAUCCAGAUUCUGUAAGAAUUGAGUAACAAGAAUUCAUUUUUCGUCAUAAAAAAGACAGUACGGGGAAAAUUCUAUGACAAAGCAACAUUUAGAAGUGAAUAACUGCGGUCCGGGCCUAACCUGGAUCUAUAGGAGCAGUAGUUGCAACUUUAUAUCCAGGUUACACUUUUCAAAUGUGGCUAUUUGUAUGUGUGCUUUUCAUAAUAAUUGCUGACGGGGCCACGUUGUACUGCCUCGCCCGAGGUAGAGGUAGCUUCCAAAUUCUUACCACCACCUAUUCCUUAUGUUUCAAACGAACCAACGUUGCAGUCUCAGUUUGUCCACUUCUUGUGUACUGUUUACCUUCGAUGCUUCUACUAUAGCAUCGCUCAGAGCUAAGGAUAGUGGUGGAAUAGAUGCCUGGAUAUGCUUGAAAGAUAAAGAGACGAGUUAGCGAUGCAGCUGCUAUCUUUUGGAUCUGUCAACUAAUUUGCAUUUGUAUUAGUUGAUGUUGAUAUUACAUUGUUGUUGUUACUUGUUUAUGCAUGUAGCUACUUCCUCUUUUUCGCUAUCCAUUCAGUUGAAGAUGUAUCGGAAACAACUUCUCAAAGAUAGGAAUAAGAUCUGUAUACACCGAGCUUUUUUUGUUGUCAAUAUAUGUGAAGUUGCACAGAAGAUAUAGUAGAAACAAAUUUCAUUAAAAUGCAAAUGGACCAAUCAAAAUUAGUAAAUUUGUUACAACCCAAAACCAGGCAAACCUAAAAAAAAAGACCAUUGCCUAGAAAGGAUGUAACUAAUUAGUGAGAAAAAAAAUUACAAUGACAAGGACAUGAUUCAUUACUAGUGCGCACACAAAUAUAACAAGAAAUUGAUCACUCACAUUUAGAAGAAGAAAGAAGAAAAGAGAACCUAAUUAUAAAAAACAAAAAAUAUAAAAAAGCAGCCCGGUGCACUAAAGCUACCGCUAUGUGCGGUGUCCGGGGAAGGGCCCCACCAAGAAAAGAGAACCUAAUUAUACUCACCAAAAAUAAAAAGAAAAAAACUAAUUAAGUGAAUCUUUCAUCAGUGAAAAUAACUUGGAAAUCACUAUAUGUCUAAAGCAAAGCAUCAUCAUCAGGUCCAGCAAGAAUUACCUGCAAAUUAAAAAAAAAAAAAAACAAUUAAAUUUGCCUUAGUAGGCGUUUAGACAUGCGAUGGCAGAAUGCUGUUGCACUCAUUCCAUGUUGCUCGGACUUUUCAAAUAUGUUGACGGAUGUGUGUUAGAUCCACUAAAAAUAGUGUUUUUUUAAAGGAUCCAACACCAGUGCGGCAGCAUUUCUGGAGAGUCCAAGCAACAACUCACUAUGCCUUAGCGACACUAGUUGUUUAACUUUUGUUAUUAUGGGAUUGGGGCACAGUGGAUAGAGUAAUGUAUAACUUAGAAAAGAUUCGCAGAUGAAGUUGAAACAAAC